Molecule: long non-coding RNA, 329 nt
Filed under: Vigna radiata
Lineage: Eukaryota; Viridiplantae; Streptophyta; Magnoliopsida; Fabales; Fabaceae
Description: long non-coding RNA (VRAD_LNC010165)
Source: RNAcentral
UGGAGAGAGAUUAAUUGUUUAAUUUGAGUGUUGUGUGAGUUAGGGAAAGGAAGCUUGAAAAUUCUAGGUUGAAUCUAAGAACCCAGGGCCAGGAAAACCCAAAACAGUUAAAAAACAAAGGGAUGAAUGGUACUGCUUGCCGCUUGGGCGCCCCACUUAGGGCGCCCGGGCGGCGACUUUGCAGGUUGGGUUUUAAGUUCAAAGCUUAAGCGGGUCUGGCCCACUUUCACUCUUUUUAACCCCAAGGGUCUUGCCUAAGCCCCCAUUUUCUGAUUUCCCUCAACCUAGCCUCUUUAAACACUCCUGCCAAGUGCCCUCUUCACUUCCUC